RNAcentral lists this ribosomal RNA (253 nucleotides) under uncultured bacterium. RNAcentral describes it as "partial 16S ribosomal RNA". It matches the Rfam family "Bacterial small subunit ribosomal RNA", at positions 524 to 776 of the family's 1533-position model. The record is from RNAcentral.
GACGAAGGUGGCAAGCGUUGUUCGGAAUCACUGGGCUUAAAGGGUGCGUAGGCGGCCUAUCAAGCGUCUUGUGAAAUCCCUCGGCUCAACCGAGGAAUUGCUGGGCGAACUGAUAGGCUUGAGGCAGGUAUGGGCGCGCGGAACUCUUGGUGGAGCGGUGAAAUGCGUAGAUAUCAAGAGGAACGCCAGAGGUGAAGACGGCGCGCUGGGCCUGUCCUGACGCUGAGGCACGAAAGCCAGGGGAGCAAACGGG